CAAGACGUAGCUAAAAUAGUAAAGCGUCUCCCUUACACCGAGAAGUCGUCUGUGCAAGUCAGACCGCCUUGA
RNAcentral lists this transfer RNA (72 nucleotides) under Mugil curema (white mullet). RNAcentral describes it as "tRNA-Val". It matches the Rfam family "tRNA". Rfam says of the family: Transfer RNA (tRNA) molecules are approximately 80 nucleotides in length. Their secondary structure includes four short double-helical elements and three loops (D, anti-codon, and T loops). Lineage: Eukaryota; Metazoa; Chordata; Actinopteri; Mugiliformes; Mugilidae. The record is from RNAcentral.